UUUUAUAAAUAUGAGGCUUCUUGUCAUGAGUGAAUUUUUCUUAGUGACUUUAAUAAAUACAAAACAUGAACCCAUAUAUAUAUAUAUAUAUAUAUACAUACAUACAUACAUACAUACAUACAUACAUAUAUGGGAUAUAAAGUUAUGAGGUUUGUUUACAUCCAAUUCUAAAUCUUGAGGUCGAAAGCUAACUGAUUUUCAAGUCUUUCAAGCUCCCUUAAUUUCCUCUUAUCCCCGCUACUGUACCUAUUUAAAAAACAAACUCAGAAACAUAAGCAUUAACAUCUUUUCUCUCAUUAUUUUAUAAAAGUAAAAGGAGAGAGAAAGAGAGAGAAGGGAAUUGGAUAAAUUGGUCUGAGCAUUUCAUUAUAACUUGAUGUGAUACUCUUUAGAAUUUAAAAAAAAAAUUAUUUCUUUAUUUUUUGUUUUGUGUGACCGUGAAAGCCAAGGGCAGGCACAGGGAUUUAGCUGCUUCCAGACGGUUAUUAAAUCAGCUCAGCUACCUAUACUAUCACUCUGCAUCUGUUUACAGCUUCACCUUUGAAGUACAACAUAAUAAUGUCAAGUGCCAUGUUGGGUACAGUACAAUCAGUCUCUGAAAUCCGCGCCCCGUCCCACAGCUUUUAAUUUUCCUUCCCCUGUAAACUGUGCGAGGAGGGAGAGGCUCUGUCAAGUCGAGGAGUGAGAUACUUCUCUUGUAGUUGUGCUUUGUUCCAUUAGAGGGGGCUAGCGGACCCAUUAUUUGCCUGAAUUUCACUUUGCUGAUAACUGACCCUUUCACCCCAACCAUGCGUGGGUUAAAGUGUUAGCACUGAUUAUGUUAUUUGCCAGUGUUUUCUUUGCCUCUCGGUAUUAAGUAUUGGCUUUGCUAUUUGUGUUCACAUGAGAAAGGGCUGGGCACUACUGUAUGUAAAAACAGUAUUGUGAGUAUUGAAGUAAUGUCAAAGUGAUACUCCCUGUUUCCUAUAAAGUGUCUGGAGCACUGCUGUAGUGGCUAACUGCACUGCACUGCACUGAUUCUCCCAUCGCACCCAGCGAGUGCCCCUUCCCACUUCCCUUCAACCCACCUCCUAAACCUUGGCCCUCCCUGCAUCCUGCGUCAUGCAUGCGAUCUAAUCCCUCUUGUGAUGGCGGAGGAGUAAUGACAAUUCUGUAGUUGUGAUACAACACACCCAGCGCUGUAAGAGUUCUGCACAUGCCCACUGUGUGGCCACGUCAAGUGCUGAAGUUUGCUUGCAGCAUUUUAAUUGCUUGCUCAUGAAAAUCAAUUAUUGUUUAAUAGAGAUUAUAUUAUUAUUGUUAUAACCACAUUUGGUUGUUGUGGUAUUUUUUUUUCUUGGUAUAUUCGAAGUCUGCUUCUUUUGGAUAUGAAAGUUUGCUAAAAAUGUUUUUUAUUAGAAAAAAAGUGUCGCAUUAUUCUAUAUUAUAUGGGGGGAAAGCCUGUUUGUUGAUUGUGAAACAUAUGAACUGAUGUUUUCUGACUAUUCAUGUCUGUAUUAGACAUUUUAUUUGCAAAUCUAUUGUUCGAUUGAAAUGUAAACUAUUAAGAGAUGGUACACAUCCGUCAUUGUAUACAGUCUGACACCAUCAUUAGAUGGACUUUUAGUAUAGACGCUCAUUUAUACAACCUGUGAUAAUCAGAUAUAGUUAAAUGUUUAAGUCAUUGGGGCAGUUGUGUAAUGUUUCAGAAUGAGGAAACUACAAUCCUUAAGAGACGGUAUAUCCAAAAGGUCCCCAAGAUGAAUAAUACUGUUAUGUAUUCCAUUUAUUUCCUUGGAAAUAUCACGUUGUGAAAGGUUUCCCUUUUACUAAUUGUGCAGUAAUGCAGGGCUGGAGUAAAGUCUAACCUAUGGUGGUGAUGAUUUAUGUGCUCUUAAUAAUGUAUGAAACUGUUUGAGUUUUGUUUUACUGACUGAUUCUUCUGGUGCAUUUUCUGGCUUGUUCAAAUGUAUUACAAUGACUUGCAGACAGCUUGGCCCAGCGGCAUACUGCUUCGGGGUUGCACUGAGACGUUAAGUUAUGAAAAAGAAGAUUUUAGCACAUGAAAUUGCAUGCUAUAAUAAACC
Molecule: long non-coding RNA, 2066 nt
Organism: Astatotilapia calliptera (eastern happy)
Lineage: Eukaryota; Metazoa; Chordata; Actinopteri; Cichliformes; Cichlidae
Source: Ensembl